CAAGACCUCAUGCUCGUGGAGCGGCCGAUAUCUGAUUAGCUAGUUGGUAGGGUAAAAGCCUACCAAGGCAUCGAUCAGUAGCUGGUCUGAGAGGACGACCAGCCACACUGGAACUGAGACACGGUCCAGACUCCUACGGGAGGCAGCAGUGGGGAAUUUUGGACAAUGGGCGAAAGCCUGAUCCAGCAAGGCCGCGUGAGUGAAGAAGGCCUUCGGGUUGUAAAGCUAGGGGUUAGGGAAGAAACGGUGAGGGCU
Molecule: ribosomal RNA, 255 nt
Filed under: uncultured bacterium
Lineage: Bacteria
Description: partial 16S ribosomal RNA
Rfam family: Bacterial small subunit ribosomal RNA
Source: RNAcentral